This is a small nucleolar RNA of Medicago truncatula (barrel medic), 165 nucleotides long. It matches the Rfam family "small nucleolar RNA snoR143". NCBI's taxonomy places the organism in Eukaryota, Viridiplantae, Streptophyta, Magnoliopsida, Fabales, Fabaceae. The record is from Rfam.
CUGCAUGUUUCUGACGAACAUGUUUUCCUUAACCAAAAAGGAUCAUUUUUUUCAGAAACAUUGUGGAUCUGUUGAAAUUGAGCAGCGGCCAGACAACCGUAGAGAUGGAAUCCACAGAUGUUGAGUUUUAUUAUCUCUCCAUUCUACUAAUUCCAUCUCAUAUUU